UGCCUUGGCAAUGGGCAAAGAAACACCUUGUUGGUGGUGUUGCUCUUAUAUUAGUCAGCGGCACAGCAGAUGAAGUCCUUUGUUCAUCCCAGCUCGAUGCAUGGCUUGAUGGCUAAAGUUGUUUUAUGCAUAGGAUACAUAA
Molecule: small nucleolar RNA, 142 nt
Organism: Mastomys coucha (southern multimammate mouse)
Lineage: Eukaryota; Metazoa; Chordata; Mammalia; Rodentia; Muridae
Product: small nucleolar RNA SNORA48
Exons: 1
Source: RefSeq, a predicted model, not a curated record